RNAcentral lists this ribosomal RNA (1455 nucleotides) under uncultured organism. Its description in RNAcentral is "SSU rRNA". It matches the Rfam family "Bacterial small subunit ribosomal RNA". The record is from RNAcentral.
UAGCUACAGGCUUAACACAUGCAAGUCGAGGGGCAGCAUGGUCUUAGCUUGCUAAGGCCGAUGGCGACCGGCGCACGGGUGAGUAACGCGUAUCCAACCUGCCUUACACUCUUGGACAGCCUUCUGAAAGGGAGAUUAAUACAAGAUGUUAUCAUGAGUAAGCAUUUUCGCAUGAUUAAAGGUUUACCGGUGUAAGAUGGGGAUGCGUUCCAUUAGAUAGUAGGCGGGGUAACGGCCCACCUAGUCUUCGAUGGAUAGGGGUUCUGAGAGGAAGGUCCCCCACAUUGGAACUGAGACACGGUCCAAACUCCUACGGGAGGCAGCAGUGAGGAAUAUUGGUCAAUGGACGAGAGUCUGAACCAGCCAAGUAGCGUGAAGGAUGAAGGUUCUAUGGAUUGUAAACUUCUUUUAUACGGGAAUAAACGAAUCCACGUGUGGAUUUUUGCAUGUACCGUAUGAAUAAGGAUCGGCUAACUCCGUGCCAGCAGCCGCGGUAAUACGGAGGAUCCGAGCGUUAUCCGGAUUUAUUGGGUUUAAAGGGAGCGUAGAUGGGUUGUUAAGUCAGUUGUGAAAGUUUGCGGCUCAACCGUAAAAUUGCAAUUGAUACUGGCAGUCUUGAGUACAGUUGAGGUAGGCGGAAUUCGUGGUGUAGCGGUGAAAUGCUUAGAUAUCACGAAGAACUCCGAUUGCGAAGGCAGCUUACUAACCUGUAACUGACAUUGAUGCUCGAAAGUGUGGGUAUCAAACGGGAUUAGAUACCCUGGUAGUCCACACGGUAAACGAUGAAUACUCGCUGUAGGCGAUAUACAGUCUGCGGCCAAGCGAAAGCAUUAAGUAUUCCACCUGGGGAGUACGCCGGCAACGGUGAAACUCAAAGGAAUUGACGGGGGCCCGCACAAGCGGAGGAACAUGUGGUUUAAUUCGAUGAUACGCGAGGAACCUUACCCGGGCUUAAAUUGCAACCGAAUAUGGCGGAAACGCUAUAGCUAGCAAUAGCGGUUGUGAAGGUGCUGCAUGGUUGUCGUCAGCUCGUGCCGUGAGGUGUCGGCUUAAGUGCCAUAACGAGCGCAACCCUUGCCGAUAGUUACUAACAGGUCAUGCUGAGGACUCUGUCGGGACUGCCAUCGUAAGAUGUGAGGAAGGUGGGGAUGACGUCAAAUCAGCACGGCCCUUACGUCCGGGGCUACACACGUGUUACAAUGGGGGGUACAGAGGGCUGCUACCACGCAAGUGGAUGCCAAUCCCAAAAACCUCUCUCAGUUCGGAUUGAAGUCUGCAACCCGACUUCAUGAAGCUGGAUUCGCUAGUAAUCGCGCAUCAGCCACGGCGCGGUGAAUACGUUCCCGGGCCUUGUACACACCGCCCGUCAAGCCAUGGGAGCCGGGGGUACCUGAAGUGCGUAACCGCAAGGAGCGCCCUAGGGUAAAACUGGUGACUGGGGCUAAGUCAUAACAA